This 491-nucleotide ribosomal RNA is filed under the name uncultured bacterium. RNAcentral's name for it is "partial 16S ribosomal RNA". It matches the Rfam family "Bacterial small subunit ribosomal RNA", at positions 28 to 507 of the family's 1533-position model. The record is from RNAcentral.
GAUGAACGCUAGCUACAGGCUUAACACAUGCAAGUCGAGGGGAAACGACAUCGAAAGCUUGCUUUUGAUGGGCGUCGACCGGCGCACGGGUGAGUAACGCGUAUCCAACCUGCCCAUCACUUGGGGAUAACCUUGCGAAAGUAAGACUAAUACCCAAUGAUAUCUCUAGAAGACAUCUGAAAGAGAUUAAAGAUUUAUCGGUGAUGGAUGGGGAUGCGUCUGAUUAGCUUGUUGGCGGGGUAACGGCCCACCAAGGCAACGAUCAGUAGGGGUUCUGAGAGGAAGGCCCCCACAUUGGAACUGAGACACGGUCCAAACUCCUACGGGAGGCAGCAGUGAGGAAUAUUGGUCAAUGGGCGAGAGCCUGAACCAGCCAAGUAGCGUGCAGGAAGACGGCCCUAUGGGUUGUAAACUGCUUUUAUAAGGGAAUAAAGUGAGAGUCGUGACUCUUUUUGUAUGUACCUUAUGAAUAAGGACCGGCUAAUUCCGUG